CCUACGGGUGGCUGCAGUGGGGAAUAUUGGACAAUGGGGGCAACCCUGAUCCAGCCAUGCCGCGUGUGUGAAGAAGGCCCUCGGGUUGUAAAGCACUUUCAGUGAGGAAGAACGCCUGGUGGUUAAUACCCAUCAGGAAAGACAUCACUCACAGAAGAAGCACCGGCUAACUCCGUGCCAGCAGCCGCGGUAAUACGGAGGGUGCGAGCGUUAAUCGGAAUUACUGGGCGUAAAGCGCGCGUAGGUGGCUUGAUAAGCCGGUUGUGAAAGCCCCGGGCUCAACCUGGGAAAGGCAUCCGGAACUGUCAAGCUAGAGUGCAGGAGAGGAAGGUAGAAUUCCCGGUGUAGCGGUGAAAUGCGUAGAGAUCGGGAGGAAUACCAGUGGCGAAGGCGGCCUUCUGGACUGACACUGACACUGAGGUGCGAAAGCGUGGGUAGCAAACAGGAUUAGAUACCCUUGUAGUC
This 465-nucleotide ribosomal RNA is filed under the name Vreelandella stevensii. RNAcentral's name for it is "partial 16S ribosomal RNA". It matches the Rfam family "Bacterial small subunit ribosomal RNA", at positions 338 to 795 of the family's 1533-position model. The record is from RNAcentral. Lineage: Bacteria; Pseudomonadati; Pseudomonadota; Gammaproteobacteria; Oceanospirillales; Halomonadaceae.